AAAAAAAAUUGAAUAAAGAAUAAAUAUGGAAAAAUUAUAAGUAUCAAAACUAUUUGUCAGUUAUUUCUUAAUUGCAUUGCAUGCAUAUUUUACGUAACGUACUUCUUUAAAUAUACUUACUAAUAAAUGAGACUAAUUACUAGGAAAUCAAAUCAAAAUAGACAAUUUCGUAUUAAAUACAUAUUAAAUACCACACAAAUAAAUGAAAUAAAUACCUCGUUCUCAAAGUAUUGCUUUUAUAAAAUUUUGUAAGGAUUGUAGCGAAAACGAAAAAGUAGCGGUAAAACAUUUAAGUUGGUAACCCUGACGCCCCUUGUGACGCCACGACAAGCGAGCUGCGAGUGCGCCACCAGUCCGCCAUCUUUCUUACCUUUUUGAUUGUUGACUUGUAAAUUUUGUAAUUAGUUUUUGCCGACGUCCACCGUGCCGUUUUUUAAGUAAUUUUUGGUAUUUUACAAAUUGUGUUACUUUAGUGGACACGUGGAGACAUGGACGCUGACUGUUGGAAGAAUUCGUCAAUUCAGACUGGCGCAAAGAGCUAUCAGGGCGCGAUGCCAGGAAUUUCAUUGCGAGACAGAAUUCGAAAUGAGGAUAUUCGCCAACGCAAUAAAGUUACCGACAUUGCAAAAAGGAUUAACUCAAGUGGGAAUGGACCGGCUAUAUUUUUCGCAGAGAUGACGAUCAAUGGGGUCGCCUAGUAUUGCUGUGGAGACCUAGCCUGGGUGGCCGAGGUGGCGGGAAACCACGAGCAGAUGGUCAGAUGACAUCAAAAAACGGCAGGGCCCACCUGGCACUGGCACAGAACCGCCACAUAUAGAACGGAGUGGAAACCCACGGAAUGCAGACCAGGAUCAUAUACUUUAGGUAUGAGUUUGUUACUUUUGCUCAUAAUAACAUGGAGUAUGUCACAGCUGCUCCACGGGCUGCAUUGAAGGGCAACAGGAGCGAAAAUGGAAAGGAGCUCCCCUUUCAAUUAGAGAAUCUUAGGAUAUGCUAAGGCAAACAGAAGGAGGCAAGGAACGGGACUGCAUCAAUUGCUGUUUGGAACCAAUCUUGUGGGAUGACUUCUGGACAGGGAAAAAACAAUUUCAUCAUCUACCCUAAUACUGACGAAUGUUCUAAAACGUGCUGUAAGGCAGACAUUUCCAAAUGUAACGGAGGAAAGUUUCGAGACAUGUAAUGGUUUCAACACGCUGCUGAGACCCAACUCAAGAGACGUCAGUUUGUACUGUUUUGUCCAUUCUCUAUGGGGCAUGCUUGUAUGGAGAGGUAUAUAUAUUGGAGUACAGACAUGGUGUUUGGUAUGAGUAUUAUAUACAUCCUCUUGAGUCAAAGAGGACCGGUAGCCACUUUGAACUCCGUGUCCGAAAGGGUCAAAGUAUGGAGCUCCCGGUACUCAGAAAAAAAAUUCUGGCCUAUUAGUUUUGAACUUUCGAGUCAAGUUUGGUGUCAUUUUUAUGUAAACUGUUCGCUUCAUUUUUAAAUUGAAGAAGAUUAAAAAUCACAGUAAUAUUAUUAAGGCAAAAGUUUGUGAGCAUACUGUGUUUGUUACUUCCUCACGCCACGCCCAAGUGCCUUAACAAAUAUUAUUUAUAAAAUUAAGUAUGGAGGAAGUAAGAUAUACCCUAAGUUAACACGUCGCUUCUUCUUGAUCGUGGGUAACACUCGGGGCGCAGUAUAAUGAUUAUUAAAAAUCUUUAUGCUGUCCCCUAUGCUGCGAUGGCGAUCGUUGCAGUACUUUCAAUAUUUUUUUUACAUCAAAUAUUAGAAUCAUCAAAGAUUACUAAUAAAAUAGGCUUUUUAAAAAUAUUUUUUAAAAAUCAUGAUUAGUAUAAAAAUAUGGAAAUAUGAGGAUUUGUUUGCAUUUCGUGGCUACUAAAAAUUCAUUAUAUUAAAUAUUGUGCUAUAUUUUGCUAUGGAACCCUAAAAAAGUAGUUACAUAAAACUGACACUAAAAUUGACUCAAAAGCUCA
Molecule: long non-coding RNA, 1973 nt
Filed under: Leguminivora glycinivorella
Lineage: Eukaryota; Metazoa; Arthropoda; Insecta; Lepidoptera; Tortricidae
Description: uncharacterized LOC125225131
Source: RNAcentral